GCGAGUGGCGGACGGGUGAGGAAUACAUCGGAAUCUACUCUUUCGUGGGGGAUAACGUAGGGAAACUUACGCUAAUACCGCAUACGACCUACGGGUGAAAGCGGAGGACCUUCGGGCUUCGCGCGAUUGAAUGAGCCGAUGUCGGAUUAGCUAGUUGGCGGGGUAAAGGCCCACCAAGGCGACGAUCCGUAGCUGGUCUGAGAGGAUGAUCAGCCACACUGGAACUGAGACACGGUCCAGACUCCUACGGGAGGCAGCAGUGGGGAAUAUUGGACAAUGGGCGCAAGCCUGAUCCAGCCAUGCCGCGUGGGUGAAGAAGGCCUUCGGGUUGUAAAGCCCUUUUGUUGGGAAAGAAAAGCAGUCGGUUAAUACCCGAUUGUUCUGACGGUACCCAAAGAAUAAGCACCGGCUAACUUCGUGCCAGCAGCCGCGGUAAUACGAAGGGUGCAAGCGUUACUCGGAAUUACUGGGCGUAAAGCGUGCGUAGGUGGUGGUUUAAGUCUGUUGUGAAAGCCCUGGGCUCAACCUGGGAAUUGCAGUGGAUACUGGGUCACUAGAGUGUGGUAGAGGGUAGCGGAAUUCCCGGUGUAGCAGUGAAAUGCGUAGAGAUCGGGAGGAACAUCCGUGGC
RNAcentral lists this ribosomal RNA (629 nucleotides) under Xanthomonas sp. EECC-541. RNAcentral describes it as "bacterial SSU rRNA". It matches the Rfam family "Bacterial small subunit ribosomal RNA", at positions 91 to 716 of the family's 1533-position model. Lineage: Bacteria; Pseudomonadati; Pseudomonadota; Gammaproteobacteria; Lysobacterales; Lysobacteraceae. The record is from RNAcentral.